RNAcentral lists this transfer RNA (69 nucleotides) under Neptunea cumingii. RNAcentral's name for it is "tRNA-Trp". Lineage: Eukaryota; Metazoa; Mollusca; Gastropoda; Neogastropoda; Buccinidae. The record is from RNAcentral.
AAGGUUUUAAGUGAAUUAAAACUAUGAGCCUUCAAAGCGUAAGAUAAAGAUAUUUCUUUAAACCUUGCC